UCUCCAACUCCUGAGCUCCGGCAAUCCGCCCACCUCGGCCUCCCAAAGUGCAAGGAUUACAGGCGUUUUUUAAAGCUUGACUUCGCAGCUAUAUCGUACAUUCUUAUGUGGCUUGCAGGUUUCCAGGCUAGCGCUGCAGGGCAUGCCCCAGCCUUAUCCUUCAGCUGUGUUCUAUCAUCUGCAACAGCCCAGCCAUGUCGUUCUGCCCUUUUCCCAUCCUGAUUUCUCUGGAGGAUUUAAGAAGCAAACAGAAAUAGAGCCAAGGAUGGAGAAACUGAGGCCCCCUGACUUGCCAAGCUGCGACUUCUAAUCCUCUUGGCUACCCCACUGGUCUGGUUCAACCUGAGCUCGCACUGAUUUUUUUGGAUUUGACGUCAAGGCAAACAUCAUUGCAAACUCAAUUCCAGCAUGCCAGCUCCAGAGCACCGUAACCUUUAAAAACUUGGGAUUUCGCCGGGCGCGGUGGCUCACACUUGUAAUCCCAGCACUUCGGGAGGCCGA
This 501-nucleotide long non-coding RNA is filed under the name Homo sapiens (human). RNAcentral's name for it is "HSALNT0389603". The record is from RNAcentral. Lineage: Eukaryota; Metazoa; Chordata; Mammalia; Primates; Hominidae.